Molecule: unclassified non-coding RNA, 293 nt
Filed under: uncultured fungus
Lineage: Eukaryota; Fungi
Description: partial contains small subunit ribosomal RNA, internal transcribed spacer 1, and 5.8S ribosomal RNA
Rfam family: Eukaryotic small subunit ribosomal RNA (bases 1-73)
Source: RNAcentral
ACAAACUUGGUCAUUUAGAGGAAGUAAAAGUCGUAACAAGGUUUCCGUAGGUGAACCUGCGGAAGGAUCAUUACAGAAUCAAGCGCGGAGGGGGGUCCCCACGGGGCCGCCCCCGCACUUCUUUCAUCCACCCCUCUGUGCACCCUUGACGCGAGCUGGUACGGGCGUGUCCCGGAAGGCUCUGCGGCCACAUCUACAUACGCCAGUCUCCGAAUGUACCUUGCGUUAUAACCGCAAAUGAAACAACUUUCAGCAACGGAUCUCUUGGCUCUCGCAUCGAUGAAGAACGCAGC